AGUGGUAUAGCUCAGGUGGUAGAGCAAUGCUUAGCAUGCAGGAGGUCCUGGGUUCAAUCCCCAGUAUCUCUA
This 72-nucleotide transfer RNA is filed under the name Camelus bactrianus (Bactrian camel). It matches the Rfam family "tRNA". From Rfam's summary of the family: Transfer RNA (tRNA) molecules are approximately 80 nucleotides in length. Their secondary structure includes four short double-helical elements and three loops (D, anti-codon, and T loops). The record is from Rfam by way of RNAcentral. Lineage: Eukaryota; Metazoa; Chordata; Mammalia; Artiodactyla; Camelidae. RNAcentral also lists the same sequence under 2 other names.